This 406-nucleotide long non-coding RNA is filed under the name Brassica napus (rape). Its description in RNAcentral is "long non-coding RNA (BNAP_LNC022774)". Lineage: Eukaryota; Viridiplantae; Streptophyta; Magnoliopsida; Brassicales; Brassicaceae. The record is from RNAcentral.
UUGCUUCAUCUAUCCCCUUGACCACAUUUAUCAGCUCCUCGAACUCCCUGACAUAAGCCUGAACUGAAUCUGUCUGCUUCAAAGCUGAUAAUUUGUGCCUCGGUUCAUCAUCUUUCGAUUCCGCAAAAUGGUCUAACAUCCUCUGCUUGAACUGCAACCAGCUAUUGAAAGGUUCUUCCUCAUUCUCCCACGUAUACCAAUUUCCCACAGCUCCAGCAAGACUCAAAGCAACCAAUUCCAAUUUCUGAUGUUCUUCAUAACGAGCCGCCCUGAAAUAUCUCUCAACUCUCGAAAUCCAACCAUAAGGCAUUGAACCAUCAAACACAGGCAAAUCAAUCUUCUUCAAUAAACUUUCUCUACUCGCAAAAGAAUAUUGAAUUUUCCGAUAACCUAGCUCCUCUGUACC